CUUAUAGGACUCCGCUGGCACC
This 22-nucleotide non-coding RNA is filed under the name Arabidopsis thaliana (thale cress). Lineage: Eukaryota; Viridiplantae; Streptophyta; Magnoliopsida; Brassicales; Brassicaceae. The record is from RNAcentral.